AGGACAGCAGCGCCGCGGUAAUACAGAGGGUGCGAGCGUUAAUCGGAUUUACUGGGCGUAAAGCGUGCGUAGGCGGCUUCUUAAGUCGGAUGUGAAAUCCCUGAGCUUAACUUAGGAAUUGCAUUCGAUACUGGGAAGCUAGAGUAUGGGAGAGGAUGGUAGAAUUCCAGGUGUAGCGGUGAAAUGCGUAGAGAUCUGGAGGAAUACCGAUGGCGAAGGCAGCCAUCUGGCCUAAUACUGACGCUGAGGUACGAAAGCAUGGGGAGCAAACAGGAUUAGAUACCCGUGUAGUCCCUGUCUCUUAUACA
RNAcentral lists this ribosomal RNA (308 nucleotides) under uncultured bacterium. Its description in RNAcentral is "partial 16S ribosomal RNA". It matches the Rfam family "Bacterial small subunit ribosomal RNA", at positions 505 to 808 of the family's 1533-position model. The record is from RNAcentral.